RNAcentral lists this ribosomal RNA (465 nucleotides) under uncultured bacterium. Its description in RNAcentral is "partial 16S ribosomal RNA". It matches the Rfam family "Bacterial small subunit ribosomal RNA", at positions 28 to 507 of the family's 1533-position model. The record is from RNAcentral.
GAUGAACGCUGGCGGCGUGCUUAACACAUGCAAGUCGAACGGAAAGGCUCCUGCUUGCAGGGGUACUCGAGUGGCGAACGGGUGAGUAACACGUGGGUGAUCUGCCCUGCACUUCGGGAUAAGCCUGGGAAACUGGGUCUAAUACCGGAUAGGACCACAUUUUGGAUGGUGUGGUGGAAAGUUUUUCGGUGUGGGAUGAGCUCGCGGCCUAUCAGCUUGUUGGUGGGGUAAUGGCCUACCAAGGCGUCGACGGGUAGCCGGCCUGAGAGGGUGUACGGCCACACUGGGACUGAGAUACGGCCCAGACUCCUACGGGAGGCAGCAGUGGGGAAUAUUGCACAAUGGGCGCAAGCCUGAUGCAGCGACGCCGCGUGGGGGAUGACGGCCUUCGGGUUGUAAACUCCUUUCGCUAGGGACGAAGCGCAAGUGACGGUACCUGGAGAAGAAGCACCGGCUAACUACGUG